GGCCGGCACAUUUGGCUCCCGGCCAGGCGGGCUGUGGGCAGGGAAAGGGCGUCAGUCAGAAAAAGGCCCGAACCAGCAGCAGCAGCUCCCUCCGCCACCCCGGAUUCGCGAGCCCACCUCGGCGCAAGAAGAGAGCAGCAGACCGGGCUUUGGAGCUGCCUCUGCCCCCCGCCCUCCCGCCCCAAGACCCCAGCAUCGAGUAAAGCUCCGCGCGCCUCCGGGAGCUUUGAGUCCCUACUCCAAGCAGCUACCAACAAGCCUGCCAAGGGCCGGGAAAGUGCACUGGUGACUGGCCUCUUCACCCCACGGAUCGUGACUACUACCCAGAGGGUCCAAGUGUAGUAAGGGACGAAACCAGGCCCCUUCACAUGAGCUUGAGCACUGGCGGCGAUUCAUCACAGUCUAACCACCCCACCAAAAAAGAAAAAGCUGCAGGAUCAACAGUGAACGGCAACAACAGCACAAAAAACAAAAAAAGGACAUCUAGUGCUUGUUCUGGAGAUCAGCGGGGAUUUGGAAGGAAAGUACACAGAUAUACACACGCGGGGGCCCCUGUUUCGGAGCAGAGUUGGGUGUUCAGGCAGGCUAGGGAAGGGAAGUCACCCGACCCGAUGAGGGGGGGGGCACAUGAAGGGGAGCCGUGUGCCAGGCCAGCUCACCACCCCAACAAUCAAACCGCGAAACUCCUUCGGACUUGGCAGCAAAGCACCGCCCUGAAGAGCACAAGCAGGAGGGCAAGGAGCUAGGAUUCUCCCCGACCCCGACAGAGGGACCCGGCACACCUCUACUGGGAGUGAGUCCUAACAAGACAAGAGAGCUUGCAAGUGUGUCUGGCGUUUAGAAGACUUUUUGAAAAUUACUUUUAUGCUCUCUAGUUUUCUCCCUCCAAAAAAUAAAAUAAAAUAGGGCCAACCCCCUCCCCCCACUUAUGCACACUGACCCAGAAUAAAACGCGUUUCAGAGUGGCAUAGAUUUCAUAUCCGGGAAAUGGCCCUCUGUCUUGUGCCUGCGAGGUCUAUCGAGCUGUAGUAACAACGUCCCUCGCUCCCCGCACGCGAAAUCUCCCUUCCCUUUCCUACUCGCCCCCCCACCCCACACCCGCCGCAAGAGAACCACUCUGUUAUUUCUAGGAUUCAACCCGCCCCGAUCUCCCUUCUCUGCUGCUGCUUUUGCCACAGACGUCCCAGUCCCUUCUCCACUGACAAUCAGCAAGAGGCAGGAGCCCGGGGCAGAAGAGGAAAGCAAGAGGGGUGGGUGGGGGGGGGGGUGUUUACCGUGCGCCUGGCUGUACGAGACUCUGGCUCUGGCAUGGGCCGAGUUGGCGUAGUAGGGGUUGCCCUGGGAGUCCAGGUGGUUGAAGAAGACAUCCACUUCGUCCGGAGAGGAAAAAUUCUGUGCAACUGGAAAGCUUGCUGUCCUAUCAAUACCAUGGAUGCAACAGAAGUAUCGUCUGAAUCAUUUGUGGUCCUGUCUUCCAAAUACAUUUUAAGCCAGGAAUAUCAGACAGGCCCGGCUCUCCAUGCAAAGAGGAUGAGGAUGGGAAACAUACCAGGGAUGCGACAAAAGAAAGGCAACUAAACAAGAACAUCCACCUCAGAGCACUCACUCCAGAGAAAGUUAAGAUGUGUCCCCCCCCCCAUUUAUUCGGGAGCCCCACAGAUUUCAAUAGGAUUUACUUCCAAAAUAACGAACAGGAAAACUUCACAAAUACGAUUUUUUUGAAAAAAAGGAAGGAAGGUGGGGGUGCUCAAUGGAAAAAGAAUUAUCAUCAUAAUGGUACUGGAAUCCGAGGGAAGGAAAGAGCAGAAAAUUCUCUCAAUUGAACACUCUGAUUAUCGGGACCCUUUCAAAACUCGCACAACAAAUACAGCCACCGCAUCUAAUGCAUCAUUUACCAGAGCAGAUCCCCGCGCGUUUGAUCGGCAGAUAGGC
This is a long non-coding RNA of Hemicordylus capensis (graceful crag lizard), 1932 nucleotides long. RefSeq lists it as uncharacterized. Lineage: Eukaryota; Metazoa; Chordata; Lepidosauria; Squamata; Cordylidae. The transcript is spliced from 6 exons. The record is from RefSeq and is a predicted model, not a curated record.